CGGUUCUCCCUCGCAGCUCCCACCUCUGUGUUCCCAUCACUUUUCACUUUUUCAGCUUUCCCUCAUCGAAUCGCUUCUCCGCUACUGGGCUUAGGCCAAAUCGAACAACCAUGAGCUACGUGUUGACGACACUGACAAAGAAGGCAGAGGUGGACUCGAUCAUCAGAUCCACCAUCGACAAGGUCCUCGUCCUCCGCUUCGGCCGCGCUUCCGACUCCACCUCCCUUCUUCUCGACGACGUCCUCGCCAAGUCCUCCCGCGACGUCUCCAAGUUCGCCACCGUCGCUCUCGUCGACGUCGACUCCGACGACAUUCAGGUCUACCUCCACUACUUCGACAUCACCCUCAUUCCCUCCACCGUCUUCUUCUUCAACGCCCACCACAUGAAGAUGGACUCCGGAACUGCCGAUCACACCAAAUGGGUCGGCGCGUUUCGGACCAAGCAGGACUUCAUUGAUGUUGUCGAGGCCAUUUUCAGAGGAGCCAUGAAGGGCAAGCUCAUUGUCAACUGCCCAUUGCCGCCGGAGCGGAUUCCCAAGUAUCAGCUGUACUUUAAGGAUGUCUAGAAUGUGAUCAACUCCUGACAUUGUAUCAUAUAUAUAUAUAUAUAGUGAAAGGCUGGUGGUAAAGAGCAAAGGAGCAUGAAAAUCUUGGCAAAAAGAGAGUUCCAACAAGGGUUGGUACAUAGCUAGGUUCCCAAUUCUCCCCAUCAUUGACUGUCCUAAGCUCUUGGGGUCUAUCUUUCAUGCUUCGCUAUCUAUGCUAUCAUUGUGAGUUAGAUACUUAUGCUUCUAGUACAUGGCUGCUUCUUCUUGCUGCUUAGUGUUGGAAUACCAUGGUGUAUACAAUACCAUUCUCCUAAAUGUUGAAGCACUGUUAAAUUAUUAUCUAUAUAUGUAAUUAGGUAAAAUGCAUGUAUAUCAACGGGCAUUGGACAGUUGCUUUAAUACUAUGUGAAUUCUUGGAUUUGGGUCCAGUGUUUUGG
RNA transcript from Argentina anserina (silverweed cinquefoil), 985 nucleotides. RefSeq lists it as uncharacterized. The transcript is spliced from 2 exons. The record is from RefSeq and is a predicted model, not a curated record. NCBI's taxonomy places the organism in Eukaryota, Viridiplantae, Streptophyta, Magnoliopsida, Rosales, Rosaceae.